RNAcentral lists this RNase P RNA (343 nucleotides) under bovine gut metagenome. Its description in RNAcentral is "Bacterial RNase P class A". It matches the Rfam family "Bacterial RNase P class A". From Rfam's summary of the family: Ribonuclease P (RNase P) is a ubiquitous endoribonuclease, found in archaea, bacteria and eukarya as well as chloroplasts and mitochondria. Its best characterised activity is the generation of mature 5'-ends of tRNAs by cleaving the 5'-leader elements of precursor-tRNAs. The record is from RNAcentral.
GGUCGCUGCCGCAAGGCAGAGGAAAGUCCGGACUCCACAGGGCGGAGGAUCCGUUCGUCAAGGACGGAAGGCGCGGGGCAAUCCCGCGCGAUGGAAAGUGCCACAGAGAAUAGACAGCGGAGCAUUCGAGCUCCGUCAUGGUGAAAAGGCGGUGUAAGAGACCACCGGCGCGGCUGAAACGACGCGCGCAGGGCAAACCCUCCUCGGAGCAAGAUCAAAUAGGGAGCCGAACGCGCGGCCCGCGCGGCUGGGCCCGAAAGGGCGCAUGAGGUUCCGGGUUGAUUGCUGAGAUGAAUGAUCGGAGUUCCCGCAAGGGAAUGAACAGAAUCUGGCUUAUUCGCCG